This 82-nucleotide transfer RNA is filed under the name Candidatus Latescibacterota bacterium. RNAcentral describes it as "Candidatus Latescibacteria bacterium tRNA-Leu". It matches the Rfam family "tRNA". Rfam says of the family: Transfer RNA (tRNA) molecules are approximately 80 nucleotides in length. Their secondary structure includes four short double-helical elements and three loops (D, anti-codon, and T loops). Further hydrogen bonds mediate the characteristic L-shaped molecular structure. tRNAs have two regions of fundamental functional importance: the anti-codon, which is responsible for specific mRNA codon recognition, and the 3' end, to which the tRNAs corresponding amino acid is attached (by aminoacyl-tRNA synthetases). tRNAs cope with the degeneracy of the genetic code in two manners: having more than one tRNA (with a specific anti-codon) for a particular amino acid; and 'wobble' base-pairing, i.e. permitting non-standard base-pairing at the 3rd anti-codon position. RNAcentral also lists the same sequence under 1 other name. Lineage: Bacteria; Pseudomonadati; Candidatus Latescibacterota. The record is from RNAcentral.
GCCGGGGUGGUGGAAUUGGUAGACACGCUACUUUGAGGGGGUAGUGGGGAGACCCAUGCGGGUUCAAAUCCCGCCCCCGGCA